This 253-nucleotide ribosomal RNA is filed under the name uncultured bacterium. RNAcentral describes it as "partial 16S ribosomal RNA". It matches the Rfam family "Bacterial small subunit ribosomal RNA", at positions 524 to 776 of the family's 1533-position model. The record is from RNAcentral.
UACGGAGGGGGCAAGCGUUGUCCGGAAUUAUUGGGCGUAAAGCGCGCGCAGGUGGUUCCUUAAGUCUGAUGUGAAAGCCCACGGCUCAACCGUGGAGGGUCAUUGGAAACUGGGGAACUUGAGUGCAGAAGAGGAAAGUGGAAUUCCAAGUGUAGCGGUGAAAUGCGUAGAGAUUUGGAGGAACACCAGUGGCGAAGGCGACUUUCUGGUCUGUAACUGACACUGAGGUGCGAAAGCGUGGGGAGCAAACAGG